This is a non-coding RNA of Drosophila virilis, 356 nucleotides long. The record is from RefSeq and is a predicted model, not a curated record. NCBI's taxonomy places the organism in Eukaryota, Metazoa, Arthropoda, Insecta, Diptera, Drosophilidae.
UAGUUGCAGCUAAUGACAGUUUUUUUUUUUAAUUCUCGUGCAUUUUUGGGUUCUAAAUGUUGAUAAAUUAACAAUUUAUGAGAAAUUCAUUUGUGCGAUAAGCUGGAAACAAGGCGAAAGAUGAAGAGCAUUGGGAAGACGAAACGCAUCUGAGUAUUUCAUUCAGUGAACUGCAUAAAUCUGCUUGAGCUCCAAUAUUUAGCCAAAUGCCUAUUAAACUAAAUCAGCUUGGCUCUUGUCUGCAAAAUUCUUUAGCUCGAUUGUGGCUGCUGCUUAUUUUUUUUUCCACAUAUGCUCCGUUGACGGCGCCAAUUAAUUUGUGUGCUUAAUUCAGCUAAUUAUUCCAAGCAAUAAAA